Long non-coding RNA from Astatotilapia calliptera (eastern happy), 2122 nucleotides. NCBI's taxonomy places the organism in Eukaryota, Metazoa, Chordata, Actinopteri, Cichliformes, Cichlidae. The record is from Ensembl.
CUCCUCCCCUUUUCUCUGUGUUCAUAUUCAUUCAGAGCUCCGUCGCUCAGACCAUCACACCUCUCUGUGCUCUCUCUGCUCUCUGCUUUCUUCAUCUCCAGGUCUCCCAUCUGUCCCUGUCUCUACCAUCCUCAUCCUCACUCUGUCUCUCCAUGGGAGUCAUGUCCUCCCCCAGGUUCCUGUCACUUCAUCUGCUUGGAGCCUUGCUGCUGCCGCUGCUGCUGCUGCCUGGUUCUUGGGCCCAGCAUUAUGAUGAUUUCACAUCAUCUCCAGAUUACGACUCUGACUACAACUCCACCUUUGAGUACAGCUUCUUCAGUAAUACGAGCAGCGAGGACCUGGACAGACUUGUGGAACGCUACCUCGAUCCAGACGAAACUACGGAGGACACUGGAGGACCAGAGGAGGAAGUGGCUGUAACCAUGGUGAUUACAAGAAGAACAACAGAGGGGGUCAACGCUCACGGCACUGCACCAUUUCAGGUAUGUUUGGAAAUCAGGACGCUGCUCUGGACUCUGGUGAUCCUGUUGGUCCUGCAGCAGCUGCAACACACACUCUGGUGACAGGUGUCGAGACAAGCCCCUCAGCUCCGUCCUCAGUGAACAUGGCUCCUCAUGGGAGCAGGUGGACCAAUCACAGAGCUUCUUUCCUGAACCAUUUCAGAAAGUUUGCAGACAAACGCCUGGAAGAUUUCACUACGUGGUGACAUUUUUAUUAUACGUAAAGAAGUUUUUUGAUGGAACUGCUGAAUAAGCCAUACUUUAGAAAAGAUGUUUAUAUUUGUAAUAAAAAGAUGUUUUUAAAGACAAUAUGAAGUUAUUUUGUGUCCUUAUUGUGCAAACAAACAACAUAAGUGUUUGUAGUUGAGUGCAAACAAGCACUGUGUUACAGAAUAAACAUGUUGAUGGACGGGGUCAGCGGGGGCCUGGAGCUUUCAUUUUUUCUCCAAAUCACAAGUGUUGUUGGCUGAACUGUGAAACGUCAGCUGAAAGAUUUCUAUUACAGCAGAACCGUCACUGUGCAAACGUUUGCAUCUGUUCAUAUUCAGGAUCCAGGAGCGGAUUUGGAUCCACAGUUUAAUCACAGAUUUAUUUGACUUGCGAUACAUUUUUGAUUGUGCUGUUUAUAGUUUUCCUCUAAAUCCUGUUUGUUUGCAUAAAAAAGACACAAAAGUGACAGAAUAAAAACACGAUUGUAUGAAUGAGCAUAUUUGCAGAUACAUUUAUAUAUAAACAAAUAAAGAUGAAGUAUUUAAAGUGGACCCCAGCAUCCUCCGUGGUUACAAUCAUCAGUUUGUCAGCGACAUGUUUGAUUGUUUAUUUGGAUGUUUGAUCUUCCUGUUCGAAAAAACAAAACUGCAGUCCCAUCGACAACAUGCUGAAAACUAUUUUUAUUAAAAAAUAAACAUUUUCCAAAACGUUUCAGAUGUAGCAGCAAAAUAAGUUUGACAGAAAAUCCGCAUGAAGAAGAAAACACCUGGACUUCUAUAGGUUUGUGAAUGUGGCAGCUCGCAUCCAAAAGGGCUUCCUAGCAGCGGCAGAGAUGAAGAAGACGGCCGUAGCGAUCGAUGUAGCGGUUCCCAAUGACAGCAACAUCAGGAAGAAGGAACACGAGAAGCUGGAGAAAUACCAAGCGCUCAGAUGUGAAGGCUGUGUGCAGGCAGGAAAAGGACCCAAAAUGCAGACUCACGGAAACCAAAGUUUCUCCAUGAGCUUCACGAGGUCGUCACCUGAAAAGGUUUCCAACAGUCUUGAAGGAGUUCAGAGAUGCUGAGCUCUUGUUGUUCCUCCAUCUCAUCCCAAACCAUCUCCACUGGGUUUAGGUCAGGUGACUGGAGGCCAGACCAUCAGGUGCAGCACUCCAUCUCUCCUUCUUGGUCACAGAGCCCUCACACAGCCUGGAGGUGUGUUCGGGGCCAUUGUCCUGCUGAAGAAUAAAUGAUGGGAUGUGGCUGCAGGAUGCUGUGGGAGCCAUGCUGCUUCAGUCUGCCUUCAAUUUUGAAUAAAUCCCCAACAGUGUCAGCAGCAAAGCCCCCCCACACCAUCACACCUCCUGCUCCAGGCUUCACAGUGCAUGUAGAGACCAUCGUUCACCAUCGCACAAAGACACAACAGGUGGAACC